UUUUUUUAUCACUAUGACUACGUAAUUUCAAUACGGCGAAAAACAAUUUCUCUAUUUUGUAUAUUUACCACGGGAGUAAGGGGAGAAUUAUUGUGAUGCGGUAAUUGUCGAAUGGGAAUUGAAUGUGCAUUUAGUUUUUACGAGUUGGAGAACUUUAUGAGAGACGAGUGAAGAAACUCAUUUCUCGGCCGUUCGAAAUAAUUGGAGAAGGAAAUUUUUUUUUGGGAGUUUGUUUCUCAGCGGUUCGAUUAUUCUCCAUGGAAAUUAUUUAUCCCCGCGAAAGUGUUACAAAUACGCCUCUGGCAAAGUCACGGAUGUCGGACGUUGCAGUGAUGGAAAAACCGUAAAUGUCGUGUUGUACAUGAGAAUCGAGGGUAGACAACACCAGAGUUGUGUUAAUUCGACGCCGAUCAUGUCAAUUAUCCAAUCCACAAGAUCGCAUCAAAUAUUUCUCAUCGAUGAUGCCCUCAACACUGACGAUUUGUUGUGUUAUUUACAACCACUGCACGUUCAUUCCUCCAUUCUUCGACAAGAUGUUCGAAUUUUUAAUUAAAAAAAGCAGUUUAUGAGGUGCUCAAAUGGGAUAAAAAAUGACUGCACCGGACUUUCACGAGAAAUUUUUUUAUUACGCUGGUGAAGAAAAGCGAAUAUUUUCGAACACUGGGAACAGUGAAAGCGAGAAUUGUCAGGGGCUAACGCCGGUCAUCUGGGAAGCAAAUGCGAGUGAAGAUCGGCGAGGGCCGUAUGAGAAAGAGUCUUAUGCAAUCGUAACUCAUUUCGUAUUCAUGUGCGGGAGGUGAAAGACUUUCCUCCCUCGUUUGCUGGUCGCGGAUAUACUCGCGCAGAUAUCGAUCUUCAGGCUCAUUAGCACCUUCUCGCCAUCGCAGUCCUUUGUUCCUUCGGGAGAUCUGAUGGCUGAUAGUGGACGACGGUUCCGGCUUGGAGUUUUUCAGUUAUUGUUGGUAUAACGGAUUGUUGAUUACGACGAGGUAAUUUAUAAUUACAUUUGAAAGG
Diachasmimorpha longicaudata is the source of this 1014-nucleotide long non-coding RNA. RefSeq lists it as uncharacterized. Lineage: Eukaryota; Metazoa; Arthropoda; Insecta; Hymenoptera; Braconidae. The record is from RefSeq and is a predicted model, not a curated record. The transcript is spliced from 3 exons.